RNAcentral lists this transfer RNA (66 nucleotides) under Phaneroptera falcata (sickle-bearing bush cricket). RNAcentral describes it as "tRNA-Phe". Lineage: Eukaryota; Metazoa; Arthropoda; Insecta; Orthoptera; Tettigoniidae. The record is from RNAcentral.
AUUUAAGUAGCUUAUAUAUAGAGUGUAACACUGAAGAUGUUAAGGAAAUAGAUUUAUUCUUAAAUA